RNAcentral lists this ribosomal RNA (490 nucleotides) under uncultured bacterium. RNAcentral describes it as "partial 16S ribosomal RNA". It matches the Rfam family "Bacterial small subunit ribosomal RNA", at positions 29 to 507 of the family's 1533-position model. The record is from RNAcentral.
AGUGAACGCUGGCGGCAGGCCUAACACAUGCAAGUCGAACCGCAGCACAAGAGAGCUUGCUCUCUGGGUGGCGAGUGGCGGACGGGUGAGGAAUGCAUCGGAAUCUGCCCAUUUGUGGGGGAUAACCUCGGGAAACCGGGACUAAUACCGCAUACGACCUACGGGUGAAAGCAGGGGAUCUUCGGACCUUGCGCAGAUGGAUGAGCCGAUGCCGGAUUAGCUAGUUGGAGGGGUAAAGGCCCACCAAGGCGACGAUCCGUAGCUGGUCUGAGAGGAUGAUCAGCCACACUGGGACUGAGACACGGCCCAGACUCCUACGGGAGGCAGCAGUGGGGAAUAUUGGACAAUGGGCGCAAGCCUGAUCCAGCCAUGCCGCGUGUGUGAAGAAGGCCUUCGGGUUGUAAAGCACUUUUGUUGGGAAAGAAAAGCAGCCGGUUAAUACCCGGUUGUCAUGACGGUACCCAAAGAAUAAGCACCGGCUAACUUCGUG